RNAcentral lists this ribosomal RNA (544 nucleotides) under uncultured sediment bacterium. Its description in RNAcentral is "bacterial SSU rRNA". It matches the Rfam family "Bacterial small subunit ribosomal RNA", at positions 8 to 565 of the family's 1533-position model. The record is from RNAcentral.
AGAGUUUGAUCCUGGCUCAGGAUGAACGCUGGCGGCGUGCCUAAUACAUGCAAGUCGAGCGGCAGCGGGCUCACUAUUUCCUUGGAAGGGAAUUGUGAGCGCCGGCGAGCGGCGGACGGGUGAGUAACGCGUGGGAAUCUACCCCAAACUGAGGGAUAACUCCGGGAAACCGGUGCUAAUACCGCAUAUGGCCUUCGGGUUAAAGUUUUAUACGGUUUGGGAAGAGCUUGCGUUGGAUUAGUUUGUUGGUGAGGUAAUGGCUUACCAAGACUACGAUCCAUAGCUGGUCUGAGAGGAUGAUCAGCCACACUGGAACUGAGACACGGUCCAGACUCCUACGGGAGGCAGCAGUAGGGAAUCUUCCACAAUGGACGAAAGUCUGAUGGAGCAACGCCGCGUGCAGGAUGAAGGCUUUCGAGUCGUAAACUGCUUUUAUGAGUGAAGAUUUUGACGGUAACUCAUGAAUAAGGAUCGGCUAACUCCGUGCCAGCAGCCGCGGUCAUACGGAGGAUCCAAGCGUUAUCCGGAAUUACUGGGCGUAAAG